UAGUAAAAAUAAGCUGAAGAUGCUAAAAAACAAAAAAAACAAAUGCAUUGCAAGCAAUACUAUAAGUUUUCAUUCCUCUGUUUCGUGACUUAAUUUAUGGGACGAUUAAACCCCAUCCAGGAGCAGCUAGGCAGCAGCAGCUUCUCUGAGUGCCGCUUUUUGCUUUGAGGACACCCUUGAGCGAUCGCACACACCGACAUUGACGGCUCCAGGGCCACCUGAUACCCCGCCUGGGACAAACGAAGCCGACACCUGAGUUCUGGCCGUCUUUGGGGCUCUUCACACCUGCAGCUGAGGUCAACUUACAACCAUUGACCCGGACAGGCAUCCUCCUCUCUGUUCUCGUUAUGCUGUUGUGAAACCAAAACCAAGAGAAUCGAAAUUGCAAAUGGUGAAUUUGUUAACGUCUCAUUCUUUUCUUUUGACCAUCUCUCAUGUCUUCAUCUUGCUUUUUCGUGUAAUCUCACUGGUAUUUUAUUUACCCUGGUUUUUCUUCCACUUCUACCACUCUUUUUGUUGCUUUCUGACUUAUAUUCAAACUGCAGGGCCAUGACCAAAUGGCAUUUUACUCACAAUGUCAAUUUCCCUUGGAAUGCGCUCCGGGUGUGUGACCCGGAGUAUUUCACCUUUCCUUCUUUAUGAAACACCUACAUGAACUUUUAGCCAAACAGUAGCCUCACCAAGACAAUAAUCUUAUCUUAAAGUCCUAAAUGUGAUAGGAGGACUUCCAGUAAAGCCAUUGAGAGUGAGCUUGUGCAUUAUAAUGAAACUCAAUGUGAACCAAAAGAGGAGGGGGGGGUUCAUUGUUUCAGUUUGUAGACUUGGGUUAGGCAUCUUGUUAGAAAGAUGAAAAGCUUGAGGUAUUCUACCCACCAGAUCGUUGAAGUCUCUGCCCUGUCAUUAGCAACAAACGGCCAGAGGUCUGGCCUCCUGCUGUUUUAAAAUCCCAUGACGCUCACUGGAAAACGCGCACAAGAAUACAUCUCUGCAGCGCAUUGACUCAAAAUACUCCACAUUUUAUGGUAGUCUUUCUUCUUUGUAAAAAGCAAAGGCUCUGGAUGGAUUAAAUGGCAAUAAAUAUGGAUGAAUCUACUGCGUUUACACUUUUGGAGACAUGGCCCAGAAGCAGGUCAAUGAUUUACAGUAAAUCUACAACACAGGGGGAAAUCAGCUUUAUACUACCAACGCCUGUGAUGACCCAAGUCUAAGUAAUCCUUUAGAUAACGGAUCUUUUCACAGAUACAACUAAAAGGGAAACUGCGGGCAUAAACAUAAAUUAAAUCGGUUAUUUUAAUUACUUUAUGUCCCGCAUGAACUGGUGAUAGUUUUAAACCCAAAUCUAAGCUUUGAGACCCACUGCCAAAACGUUUUACUCACAAAGUGCGUUUUUAUCACCUGAUGAGUCUUCGUACACAAGACUGUGUUUGUUUUGGAUUAGAUUUCUAUAACUACACUUCCAAAAGUUCAAAAGUUAGCUUGUCGAAUGCUGACUGAAAGCAGUUUUAUUGCUGGAUUUUCCUAACAAUAUAUUUUGAGAUACAAUUAGUCUUUACAGAUCUCCAGAUCAUCUUUGUCUUUACUUUGUAAACCUGGGCACCUAAAUGAUGCCCAAAUGAUUUUGAUGAUCAUUUAGGUAUCAUGAUUUUGAUACCUAAAUGUAUCAAAAGUGAAAAACAAAACAAAACCAAAAAAAAAAAAGGAAUCUCUAUUUCUAAAUAUAGAGCUGUGUGUGUGUGUGUUUUCUUUUUUCUUUUGGUGCCUGACUGCAUUGGCUUGUUCUGAGACGUUCGCUGAAGUGAUUGUAUGGGUGUGCAGGUGUAAAUAAGAAAAUAUCUUGACAUGUUGAUUUUGAAUAUUCCGUUUCCUUUUUGUCAUUUUGACCUCUUAAACCCUUUGCAUUGAAUAUAAUGAAAGAAAUGUGGCACACAAGAAGUUUUUAAUUGAUUGAUAACUGCUUACCAAGGUUAAACUCCAGUUCUGUGGUUACUGCUUCACCGUAAAUACAUCUCUUUAUUAUAUCACACAUCUAUUUCCUGUUUUUCCUCCAUCGGAGUCUGAGAUCGCACCUGAUGUCCUGAACUGCAAACAUAAAGGGUUUUCCAUUGGUGCCAUUAUUGUCCUGGAUACAAGUUUGACCCCAAGCCGGUCGGAGCAGUUUUGGACUGCUUUGCCGGAGGCAUUUACGGCUUGUGCUCGUGUUGAAGAUCCUGUAAACAAGCAGACGUUCUGAGCGGUGAAAGACGGUUGGGGAUGUGGAGGUCACUGGAGAAACCGCCCCACCUCAGCAAGUCUUGCAGUGCAUUUCAGAACGAUAACACACCUAAAGGAUAGUGGAUGCGAGGUUGUGAAAUAAAUUUGACCCUUUACCUCAUGGCCUGAUCUUUGCUGUUUUUUGAUGAUUUUGAUGUUUUUUGCAUUUCUUGAUUGAAUCUCUAGAAAUGCUUUCUAAACUGUUUUUUAUGCUUUUUAGCUACUGUAGCAUUUUAACAUUAUCUUCUGUUUGAUAGAGAAGGUGAUGUAGCCCCACAGCUGCUGCCAGUACUCCUCCCUGUUCCACCUUACGCACUUUGGAGAAGAGUUUCAGACCCAUCAACCUGGACGUUCAGAAGGUUUCAUUGAUAUCCAACUCGUUGGGACAAACCUGGUGGCGCAUCUACAACAUGCGACAACAUAGAACCCGUUUGUCCUCAUGCUGGCAGACAGGCAAAAAUGCUAAAGUGUUGGUAAAAAAUACUCCUUGUUUAAAGGCUGAAAUUUUUACUUGUAGUUUGCUCUAAAACAGACUUUUUACAUAAAAUGUUUUCUUAAUGUGUAGUAACAGAUACUUCUGGGGUUGUAGCCAAAUAAUGUCUUGAAGUGAUUUAAGGAUUAAAAAAAAAAAAGUAUUGCUUAUAUUUUUUGUAGCUUUUGUUAAAUGAAUUCUGUUGGCUCUAUGUAUGUAUCACAUGGAAAUAAAAGAAGCUUUAAAUUCA
Molecule: long non-coding RNA, 2972 nt
Organism: Xiphophorus hellerii (green swordtail)
Lineage: Eukaryota; Metazoa; Chordata; Actinopteri; Cyprinodontiformes; Poeciliidae
Exons: 2
Source: RefSeq, a predicted model, not a curated record